UUUCCGGUUGAUCCCGCCGGACCUGACUGCUAUCGCGAUUGAUACUAAGCCAUGCGAGUCAUUGUAGCAAUACAAGGCAGACGGCUCAGUAACGCGUAGUCAACCUACCCUAUGGACGGGAAUAACCUCGGGAAACUGAGAAUAAUGCCCGAUAGAACAUUAUGCCUGGAAUGGUUUAUGUUUAAAAUGAUUUAUCGCCGUAGGAUGGGACUGCGGCCUAUCAGUUUGUUGGUGAGGUAAUGGCCCACCAAGACUAUUACAGGUACGGGCUCUGAGAGGAGUGGCCCGGAGAUGGGUACUGAGACACGGACCCAGGCCCUAUGGGGCGCAGCAGGCGAGAAAACUUUGCAAUGUGCGAAAGCACGACAAGGUUAAUCCGAGUGGUUUCUGCUAAAGGAACCUUUUGUCGGUCCUAGAAACACCGAUGAAUAAGGGGUGGGCAAGUUCUGGUGUCAGCCGCCGCGGUAAAACCAGCACCUCAAGUGGUCAGGAUGAUUAUUGGGCCUAAAGCAUCCGUAGCCUGCUCUGUAAGUUUUCGGUUAAAUCCAUAUGCUCAACAUAUGGGCUGCCGGGAAUACUGCAGAGCUAGGGAGUGGGAGAGGUAGACGGUACUUGGUAGGAAGGGGUAAAAUCCUUUGAUNUAUUGAUGACCACCUGUGGCGAAGGCGGUCUACCAGAACACGUCCGACGGUGAGGGAUGAAAGCUGGGGGAGCAAACCGGAUUAGAUACCCGGGUAGUCCCAGCUGUAAACAAUGCAAACUCAGUGAUGCAUUGGNUUGUGGCCAAUGCAGUGUUGCAGGGAAGCCGUUAAGUUUGCCGCCUGGGAAGUACGUACGCAAGUAUGAAACUUAAAGGAAUUGGCGGGGGAGCACCACAAGGGCGUGAAGCCUGCGAGUUCACAUUGGAUUCAACGCCGGGAAUCG
This 924-nucleotide ribosomal RNA is filed under the name uncultured archaeon. RNAcentral's name for it is "bacterial SSU rRNA". It matches the Rfam family "Archaeal small subunit ribosomal RNA", at positions 1 to 927 of the family's 1478-position model. The record is from RNAcentral.